CCUUCUUUAUUAAUUUUUUUAACUUGUGCCCACAUUUUUUAUUACAUCACAAUGUGUUGGUUCUCAAUCUUCGGAAGCUUAAAUUCAGGCAGGUUGCGUAGACAGCGUUUACCAACACAUGUAUAGUUGGAACCACAAACUGCCUUACAUUCUAGGCUUGUUUUACAAGGAAAAUUAUAAACACAAUUUGCAUCUGAUUGUUUGCAUAUAUCUGUAUUCAUACAAAUAAUACAUUAACAUAGAAAGAAUAGAAUAUAAUGCAAUGAAAAUUAGAAGGUAUAAAACACAUGGUCGAGAUUAAAAAUAAAAUAUAAUUUCUAACCUGCUGCCAUGAUAAAAACCAAAAAGAAAGCAAAUUUAACAAGAGACAUCCUCACACUCAAC
This 384-nucleotide long non-coding RNA is filed under the name Lupinus angustifolius (narrow-leaved blue lupine). RNAcentral's name for it is "long non-coding RNA (LANG_LNC001323)". The record is from RNAcentral. Lineage: Eukaryota; Viridiplantae; Streptophyta; Magnoliopsida; Fabales; Fabaceae.